UUACUUAGCUACUCAAUGCAUUUGUUUAACAUAGUAGCCUUCUCAAGAUGACUAUGUAUACAACACCAAAUCAACACAAGUAGAAUAAUUUAAACUUAUUUUAUACAUCAUUUUAAAAAUUAAAUAUAUGUCUUAAACACUAAAACAAGGAAAUAUGCAAUUUUUUUAUGAAUAAUUAUAAUGACCUAAAUUAUAAUGUAUCGAUAUUGAGUUUUUUAAAAUCUGAAAUUCUAAAAUAUGACGCAUUGAUAUCAUAAUAUGUUGUUUAAAAAAAUAUACAAUGAAAAAAAG
This 291-nucleotide long non-coding RNA is filed under the name Lathyrus oleraceus (garden pea). Its description in RNAcentral is "Pisum sativum (pea) long non-coding RNA (PSAT_LNC006681)". Lineage: Eukaryota; Viridiplantae; Streptophyta; Magnoliopsida; Fabales; Fabaceae. The record is from RNAcentral.